GACGAACGCUGGCGGCGUGCUUAACACAUGCAAGUCGAACGGAAAGGCCCUGCUUUUGUGGGGUGCUCGAGUGGCGAACGGGUGAGUAACACGUGAGUAACCUGCCCUUGACUUUGGGAUAACUUCAGGAAACUGGGGCUAAUACCGGAUAGGAGCUCCUGCUGCAUGGUGGGGGUUGGAAAGUUUCGGCGGUUGGGGAUGGACUCGCGGCUUAUCAGCUUGUUGGUGGGGUAGUGGCUUACCAAGGCUUUGACGGGUAGCCGGCCUGAGAGGGUGACCGGCCACAUGGGGACUGGGAUACGGCCCAGACCCCUACGGGAGGGAGGAGUGGGGAAUAUUGCACAAGGGGCGGAAGCCUGAUGCAGAAACGCCGGGGGGGGGAUGACGGCCUUCGGGUGGUAAACCGCUUUCGCCUGGGACGAAGGGUGGGUGACGGUAAUGGGGAAAGAAGCACCGGCUAACUACGU
RNAcentral lists this ribosomal RNA (467 nucleotides) under uncultured bacterium. Its description in RNAcentral is "partial 16S ribosomal RNA". It matches the Rfam family "Bacterial small subunit ribosomal RNA", at positions 28 to 506 of the family's 1533-position model. The record is from RNAcentral.